This 398-nucleotide ribosomal RNA is filed under the name Salmonella enterica subsp. enterica serovar Typhimurium. Its description in RNAcentral is "partial 23S ribosomal RNA". It matches the Rfam family "Bacterial large subunit ribosomal RNA", at positions 161 to 597 of the family's 2925-position model. Lineage: Bacteria; Pseudomonadati; Pseudomonadota; Gammaproteobacteria; Enterobacterales; Enterobacteriaceae. The record is from RNAcentral.
AAUCCAUAGGUUAAUGAGGCGAACCGGGGGAACUGAAACAUCUAAGUACCCCGAGGAAAAGAAAUCAACCGAGAUUCCCCCAGUAGCGGCGAGCGAACGGGGAGGAGCCCAGAGCCUGAAUCAGCAUGUGUGUUAGUGGAAGCGUCUGGAAAGGCGCGCGAUACAGGGUGACAGCCCCGUACACAAAAGCGCAUGUGCUGUGAGCUCGAUGAGUAGGGCGGGACACGUGGUAUCCUGUCUGAAUAUGGGGGGACCAUCCUCCAAGGCUAAAUACUCCUGACUGACCGAUAGUGAACCAGUACCGUGAGGGAAAGGCGAAAAGAACCCCGGCGAGGGGAGUGAAAAAGAACCUGAAACCGUGUACGUACAAGCAGUGGGAGCACCCUUCGGGGUGUGAC